AAACCAGCACCUCAAGUGGUCAGGAGGAUUAUUGGGCCUAAAGCAUCCGUAGCCUGUUCUAUAAGUUUCCGGUUAAAUCCACUAGCUCAACUAGUGGGCUACCGAAAAUACUGUAGAACUAGGGAGUGGGAGAGGUAGACGGUAUUCGGUAGGAAGGGGUAAAAUCCUUUGAUCUAUUGAGGACCACCUGUGGCGAAGGCGGUCUACCAGAACACGUUCGACGGUGAGGGAUGAAAGCUGGGGGAGCAAACCGGAUUAGAAACCCUGGUAGUCC
This 274-nucleotide ribosomal RNA is filed under the name uncultured bacterium. Its description in RNAcentral is "partial 16S ribosomal RNA". It matches the Rfam family "Archaeal small subunit ribosomal RNA", at positions 473 to 747 of the family's 1478-position model. The record is from RNAcentral.